Molecule: ribosomal RNA, 506 nt
Filed under: uncultured bacterium
Lineage: Bacteria
Description: partial 16S ribosomal RNA
Rfam family: Bacterial small subunit ribosomal RNA
Source: RNAcentral
GAUGAACGCUAGCUACAGGCUUAACACAUGCAAGUCGAGGGGUAACGAGAGGAAAGCUUGCUUUCCUUGUCGACGACCGGCGCACGGGUGAGUAACGCGUAUCCAACCUGCCCCCAACUAGGGAAUAACCUUGCGAAAGUAAGACUAAUACCCUAUAAUUUCCUCAGAUGUCAUCUGACGAGGAAUAAAGAUUUAUCGGUUGUGGAUGGGGAUGCGUCUGAUUAGCUUGUUGGCGGGGUAACGGCCCACCAAGGCAACGAUCAGUAGGGGUUCUGAGAGGAAGGUCCCCCACGUUGGAACUGAGACACGGGCCAAACUCCUACGGGAGGCAGCAGUGAGGAAUAUUGGUCAAUGGGCGGAAGCCUGAACCAGCCAAGUAGCGUGCAGGAUGACGGCCCUAUGGGUUGUAAACUGCUUUUAUACAGGAAUAAAGUUAGCCACGUGUGGUUAUUUGUAGGUACUGUAUGAAUAAGGACCGGCUAAUUCCGUGCCAGCAGCCGCGGUAA